GCUGGCAUGGCUCAGUCGGUAGAGCGCACCCCUCGUAAGGGUGAGGUCACGAGUUCGAUCCUCGUUGCCAGCU
This 73-nucleotide transfer RNA is filed under the name bacterium. RNAcentral's name for it is "tRNA-Thr". It matches the Rfam family "tRNA". From Rfam's summary of the family: Transfer RNA (tRNA) molecules are approximately 80 nucleotides in length. Their secondary structure includes four short double-helical elements and three loops (D, anti-codon, and T loops). RNAcentral also lists the same sequence under 1 other name. The record is from RNAcentral.